ACGGAGGGUGAGAGUGUUAUUCGGAAUUACUGGGCGUAAAGAGCACGUAGGCGGAUAGACAAGUCAGAUGUGAAAGCCCGGAGAUUAACUCCGGAACUGCAUUUGAUACUGCCUGUCUUGAGUGUGGUAGAGGGGGGUGGAAUUCCCGGUGUAGAAGUGAAAUUCGUAGAUAUCUGGAGGAACACCAGAGUCGGAGGCGACCCCCUGGGCCAUAACUGACGCUGGGAUGCGAAAGCUUGGAGAUGAAACAG
RNAcentral lists this ribosomal RNA (251 nucleotides) under uncultured prokaryote. RNAcentral describes it as "partial 16S rRNA". It matches the Rfam family "Bacterial small subunit ribosomal RNA", at positions 525 to 775 of the family's 1533-position model. The record is from RNAcentral.